AUUGAACGCUGGCGGCAUGCCUUACACAUGCAAGUCGAACGGCAGCAUGAUCUAGCUUGCUAGAUUGAUGGCGAGUGGCGAACGGGCGAGUAAUACAUCGGAACGUGCCCUGUAGCGGGGGAUAACUAGUCGAAAGAUUAGCUAAUACCGCAUACGACCUGAGGGUGAAAGUGGGGGACCGCAAGGCCUCAUGCUAUAGGAGCGGCCGAUGUCUGAUUAGCUAGUUGGUGAGGUAAAGGCUCACCAAGGCGACGAUCAGUAGCUGGUCUGAGAGGACGAUCAGCCACACUGGGACUGAGACACGGCCCAGACUCCUACGGGAGGCAGCAGUGGGGAAUUUUGGACAAUGGGCGAAAGCCUGAUCCAGCAAUGCCGCGUGUGUGAAGAAGGCCUUCGGGUUGUAAAGCACUUUUGUCCGGAAAGAAAUGGCUCUGGUUAAUACCUGGGGUCGAUGACGGUACCGGAAGAAUAAGGACCGGCUAACUACGUG
This 490-nucleotide ribosomal RNA is filed under the name uncultured bacterium. RNAcentral describes it as "partial 16S ribosomal RNA". It matches the Rfam family "Bacterial small subunit ribosomal RNA", at positions 30 to 507 of the family's 1533-position model. The record is from RNAcentral.